GAUGAACGCUGGCGGCGUGCCUAAUACAUGCAAGUCGAGCGAACAGACGAGGAGCUUGCUCCUCUGACGUUAGCGGCGGACGGGUGAGUAACACGUGGAUAACCUACCUAUAAGACUGGGAUAACUUCGGGAAACCGGAGCUAAUACCGGAUAAUAUAUUGAACCGCAUGGUUCAAUAGUGAAAGACGGUUUUGCUGUCACUUAUAGAUGGAUCCGCGCCGCAUUAGCUAGUUGGUAAGGUAACGGCUUACCAAGGCAACGAUGCGUAGCCGACCUGAGAGGGUGAUCGGCCACACUGGAACGGAGACACGGUCCAGACUCCUACGGGAGGCAGCAGUAGGGAAUCUGCCGCAAUGGGCGAAAGCUUGACGGAGCAACGCCGCGUGAGUGAUGAAGGUCUUCGGAUCGUAAAACUCUGUUAUUAGGGAAGAACAAAUGUGUAAGUAACUAUGCACGUCUUGACGGUACCUAAUCAGAAAGCCACGGCUAACUACGUG
RNAcentral lists this ribosomal RNA (497 nucleotides) under uncultured bacterium. Its description in RNAcentral is "partial 16S ribosomal RNA". It matches the Rfam family "Bacterial small subunit ribosomal RNA", at positions 28 to 507 of the family's 1533-position model. The record is from RNAcentral.